This 477-nucleotide ribosomal RNA is filed under the name uncultured bacterium. RNAcentral describes it as "partial 16S ribosomal RNA". It matches the Rfam family "Bacterial small subunit ribosomal RNA", at positions 28 to 505 of the family's 1533-position model. The record is from RNAcentral.
GACGAACGCUGGCGGCGUGCUUAACACAUGCAAGUCGAACGAAGCUUGAUUACGGAUUCUUCGGAUGAUGUAUGAUAUGACUGAGUGGCGGACGGGUGAGUAACGCGUGAGUAACCUGCCCUUCAGAGGGGGAUAGCGUUCGGAAACGAACGGUAAUACCGCAUAAUGUAUUUUGACCGCAUGAUCGAAAUACCAAAGAUUUAUCGCCGAAGGAUGGACUCGCGGCUGAUUAGGUAGUUGGUGGGGUAACGGCCUACAAAGGCGACGAUCAGUCGCCGGACUGAGAGGUUGAUCGGCCACAUUGGGACUGAGACACGGCCCAGACUCCUACGGGAGGCAGCAGUGGGGAAUAUUGCACAAUGGGCGAAAGCCUGAUGCAGCAACGCCGCGUGAGGGAAGAAGGUUUUAGGAUUGUAAACUUCUGUUAUUAGUGAAGAAAAAGGACGGUAGGUAAGGAGAAGGCCAGGGCAAACUAGG